GGGGGACCUUCGGGCCUCUUGCCAUCGGAUGUGCCCAGAUGGGAUUAGCUAGUAGGUGGGGUAACGGCUCACCUAGGCGACGAUCCCUAGCUGGUCUGAGAGGAUGACCAGCCACACUGGAACUGAGACACGGUCCAGACUCCUACGGGAGGCAGCAGUGGGGAAUAUUGCACAAUGGGCGCAAGCCUGAUGCAGCCAUGCCGCGUGUAUGAAGAAGGCCUUCGGGUUGUAAAGUACUUUCAGCGGGGAGGAAGGGAGUAAAGUUAAUACCUUUGCUCAUUGACGUUACCCGCAGAAGAAGCACCGGCUAACUCCGUGCCAGCAGCCGCGGUAAUACGGAGGGUGCAAGCGUUAAUCGGAAUUACUGGGCGUAAAGCGCACCGCCCGCCGGUUG
Molecule: ribosomal RNA, 394 nt
Filed under: Escherichia coli
Lineage: Bacteria; Pseudomonadati; Pseudomonadota; Gammaproteobacteria; Enterobacterales; Enterobacteriaceae
Description: bacterial SSU rRNA
Rfam family: Bacterial small subunit ribosomal RNA
Source: RNAcentral